AAUUCCUCCCUGGUUCCAUCUGGUGGUCACUGUAGUCUCUUCACAGGAUCAAGAAGUUUCAGAAAAGGGUCAGUCUUGCAGUUCUUGGGUCUGAUGAUUCAAGUAUUUUCAUAACCAGCAGCAGUUUGGGGAUGGCGUUUUUCAAAUACUGAAUCUAUUGAAUUCAAGUGUAUUUGGGGCAUUUGAGCCUCAAAAAUAUAACUGUAAAUUUUUAAUUUGGGAUUAUAACUUAUUUUGAUUAAAAUCAUUUCUAUAGACUGAGAUAACUUUUUAGUUUUCUGCUACUAUCUGAAUAAACUUGUAACUAAUUGAAAUUUCUGUUUCUUCUCCUUGGUGUAGCUUAUCAACCAGCCCAGCCGUAUCCCUUCGGAACAGGGGGGUCAGCAAUGUAUCGACCUCAGCAGCCUGUUGCUCCUCCUACUUCAAACGCUUACCCUAACACCCCUUACAUAUCUUCUGCUUCUUCCUAUACUGGGCAGUCUCAACUGUAUGCAGCACAGCACCAGGCCUCUUCACCUACCUCCAGCCCUGCUACUUCUUUCCCUCCUCCCCCUUCCUCUGGAGCAUCCUUCCAGCAUGGCGGACCAGGAGCUCCACCAUCAUCUUCAGCUUAUGCACUGCCUCCUGGAACAACAGGUACACUGCCUGCUGCCAGUGAGCUGCCUGCGUCCCAAAGAACAGGUCCUCAGAACGGUUGGAAUGACCCUCCGGCUUUGAACAGAGUACCCAAAAAGAAGAAGAUGCCUGAAAACUUCAUGCCUCCUGUUCCCAUCACAUCACCAAUCAUGAACCCAUUGGGUGACCCCCAGUCACAGAUGCUGCAGC
This 825-nucleotide small RNA is filed under the name Pongo abelii (Sumatran orangutan). RNAcentral describes it as "retained intron". The record is from RNAcentral. Lineage: Eukaryota; Metazoa; Chordata; Mammalia; Primates; Hominidae.